Homo sapiens (human) is the source of this 2640-nucleotide long non-coding RNA. Ensembl annotates it as TMEM147 antisense RNA 1. Its record names the gene TMEM147-AS1. The record is from Ensembl. NCBI's taxonomy places the organism in Eukaryota, Metazoa, Chordata, Mammalia, Primates, Hominidae.
AGCGCUUUGGGGAGUGACUUCCGGCCAUGCGGGGCCUCUACCGCUGCCAUCGCGGUCCCGGUCUCCUGAAGUGGAACCCGGCUUGGAGUCGAGCGCGACCCCUCGCCCGUGGGCGCAGGCGAUCGAGUAAGGGUGGGGCGGGCCUCAAACCCGGAUCAGAACCCGCCCUGACCGGCGCAGAGAUACGGGACGCAGCCGUGAGCACUGUUUUUUAUUUCACCAUGGACCCAUCGGCGUGGGGCGCCCGCCCCGGGUGUCCUUCCUCCCCCGGGCAGCCAGAUGCUGGAACGGGAGGCACAUGUUCCGGCCCCGGCCCCUGGGAAGGAAAGAAAGGACCUUCCCGUUUCACUUGUCUCGGCUGAACAUGUAGCGGAGGAGGUCGACCACCCGGUGACUGUAGCCAUAUUCGUUGUCGUACCUGUGGAGGAGGGGUCGGGAGGUUCAAGGGGGUUCCUUCCGACCACCCCUUAGUUCCCCUCCCUCUAAGUCUCCAGCUCCUUCCCCCUUACCAUGAAAUGAGCUUCACGAAAUUGUCAUUGAGCGCAAUGCCGGCCUUAGCAUCGAAGAUGGACGAGUGGGUAUCACCGAGGAAGUCCGUAGAGACGACCUGGAAGUCAGAAUUUCAAAGAUAAGUGUGUCCGGCAGAGCAAGGACCUCCAGGAGCUGAGGCCCCGACUCUUAACUCUAUCGCCCAUCCAUGCAUUCAUCUAUAAUAUUUGAUGUAGCCCUACUGUGUCCAGUCUCUGGACUGGAGGGUAUGACCAAGUGCAGGGUAUGACCAAGGCACUGUGUCAGGGUCUGGCCAAAGGGCACAGGUCACAAACACCCUCAUGCUGUACCAGUACAUCCCUUUCCUAGGAAUAAUGCAAGCGUUUGGAAUGGGCCAGCAUGGAGGGCCUCUCUGAGGGGUGGCCAUGAGCCUGGGUCUAGAUGACUAGAAAGAUCUGACCGGCUGGGGCCCUCAGCACAGUGUCUGAGGUAGAAGGAGCUGCAGGAAGGGAGGACCUGAGGGUUUUAGCCCUAGUGUCAUGAAAGGCCACAGGAGUGUUUUCAAUCCUGAAAACGGGUGAUGCAAUGUGAUUCCAUUAAAACAAAAGAUCCCAGUGACUGUGGGAAAGUGGACCUGCAGGAGUUAAUGCAGGGAGACAGCACCAAGGUGGAUGUACAGGGGUCCACCAUGACCAUGGCAUCCACUCCUCACAGAGAAGGCAUCUGGCCAUGGCCUGGCCCUGAGCAAGUAUUGAAAAAAAUGGGAGCUGUUGUCUUUUGUUCACUAAGCAUGUAUUAGUCACCUGCUGUAUGCCAGGUUGGAGCCACAAAAGUGAAAAGGCAGCCCCUAAAUCCCUGUUUUCUUGGAGUGCACACACCACUGGGGCCAACAGUGACUAUGAAAUGAAAUUUCAGUAAGCAAGGCCCGGGAAGAAGUUGGGUUUCCCUGCCAUCCUUCCUGCCCCAGCCCCUCAUCCUCAACUCACCAUCAACCCUUCCACGAUCCCAAAUCGCUCGUGGAUGACUUUGGCGAGGGGAGCCAAACAGUUGGUGGUGCAGGACGCGUUGCUGAAACAGCCAAGGUGUGCACGGACACUGUGAGGUGGUGACCUCCCCAACUCAGCCCUCAACCUCCUCAGAGGCGCCAAUGCUGACUGCUGUCAGCCAGCCCAGACCCUUUCUCCAUAUGCUGCCCGGGACGUGGACUCUGUGACUGUGAGGCCUGCCCGGCUGCUUUCUGCUUCCCAGCUCUGACAACCUCGCCAUGAACCCUCCUAGACCCUCAGCUCCUGCAAUAGGAAGCUGGCUGCCAAAGGCCAGGAGGGUCCCUGAAAACAGACACUGCAUUAAAGAAAAAGCUCCUGGAGGACUCCUGAAGCCUGAGGCAGCCUUGGGGCAGCAGUGGCUCAUGGUUUACAUUGGAAAGGUUUAUCAUGAGUAACCGGGUGCUUUGCUUCUGUGAUUCUUGGCCAGUGUCGGUCUGUUUCCUUUGCCAUUGAGCCUGCUCCCCUCAAUGGGGGGUUCAAUCAAUGUUUGUGGGGUUUGUUUGUUUUGAGACAGGGUCUUCCUCUGUCGCCCAGGCUGGAGUGCAGUGGUGCAAUCAGAGCUCACUGCAGCCUUGAUCUUCCUGGCUCCGGCCAUCCUCCUGCCUUGGCCUCCCGAGUAGCUGGGACUACAGGCGCACACCACCAUGCCAAGCUAAUUUUUAAAUUUUUUUGUAGAGAUGGGGUCUCACUUUUGUUGCCCAGGGUGCUUUAGAACCCCUGGGCUCAAGUGAUCCUUGACCUCCCACAGUGCUGGGAUUACAGGUGUGAGCCACCGUGCCUGGCCUCAUGGGUUUUCUUUGUUUUGUUUUGUUUUGUUUUUGAGACAGAGUCUCACUCUGUCACUCAGGCUGGAGUGCAGUGGCACGAUUUUGGCUCACUGCAACCUCCACCUUCCGGGUUCAAGCGAUUCUCCUGCCUCCGCCUCCCGAGUAGUUGGGGUUACAGGCAUGCGCUACCACACCUGGCUAGUUUUUUAUUGUUGUUGUUUUUUGUAUUUUUAGUGGUGACGGGGUUUGCUCUGUUGGCCAGGCUGGUCUCAAACUCCUGACCUCAGGUGAUCCCCACUUCAGCCUCCCAAAGUGCUGGGAUGACAGGCAUGAGCCUC